This 480-nucleotide ribosomal RNA is filed under the name uncultured bacterium. RNAcentral's name for it is "bacterial SSU rRNA". It matches the Rfam family "Bacterial small subunit ribosomal RNA", at positions 29 to 507 of the family's 1533-position model. The record is from RNAcentral.
AACAAACGUUAGCGGCGUGCUUCAUACAUGCAAGUCGAACGAGAAAGUAUCCUUCGGGGUGCAAGUAAAGUGGCGAACUGGUGAGUAACACGUGAGCAACUUGCCUCAAAGUUCGGGAUAACCUUGAGAAAUUGGGGCUAAUACCGGAUGUGGUUCGAACGACUCAUGUCGAUCGAAUUAAAGAUUACCUCUCCAUGGAAGUAAUCGCUUUGAGAUGGGCUCGCGGCCUAUUAGCUUGUUGGUGAGGUAACGGCUCACCAAGGCAACGAUGGGUAGCCGGCCUGAGAGGGUGGUCCCCCACAAUGGCACUGAAACACGGGCCAUACGUCUACGGACGGCAGCAGUGGGGAAUAUUGCACAAUGGACGAAAGUCUGAUGCAGCAACGCCGCGUGCGCGAUGAAGGCCUUCGGGUUGUAAAGCGCUUUUCUGGGGGAAGAGGAAGGACGGUACCCCAGGAAUAAGUCUCGGCUAACUACGUG